CUUAUACUCAUUUCGUCCGGAAAUACUUGUCAUAUGAAUGGAUGUAUCUAGAUGUAUUUUAGUUCUAGAUACAUUCACUUUUAUACAUUUAUGCGAUAAAUAAUUCCGGACAGAAGGAGUAUAUU
This is a non-coding RNA of Hordeum vulgare subsp. vulgare (domesticated barley), 125 nucleotides long. NCBI's taxonomy places the organism in Eukaryota, Viridiplantae, Streptophyta, Magnoliopsida, Poales, Poaceae. The record is from Rfam.